This is a long non-coding RNA of Salvelinus fontinalis (brook trout), 2768 nucleotides long. RefSeq lists it as uncharacterized. The transcript is spliced from 2 exons. Lineage: Eukaryota; Metazoa; Chordata; Actinopteri; Salmoniformes; Salmonidae. The record is from RefSeq and is a predicted model, not a curated record.
AUUAUCUUUCUGCUGUUGGACCUCGACGCGCGCCGCGCACUGGGAAACAGAGCGCGCAAGAGCAACCGCUGUCCCCGGAGAACAUUUUGCCAGAAGCGCUGUGGAACAUCCAAGGGACUAUUUUGCGAACUUCAGACGUGCAGCAAUGUUUUUUUUUGGACAGCAGUGGCUUCUUCCGUGGUGUCCUCCCAUGAACACCAUUCUUGUUUAGUGUUUUACAUAUCGUAGACUCAUCAACAGAGAUGUUAGCAUGUUCCAGAGAUUUCUGUAAGUCUUUAGCUGACACUCCAGGAUUCUUCUUAACCUCAUUGAGCAUUCUGCACUGUGCUCUUGCAGUCAUCUUUGCAGGACAGCCACUCCUAAGGAGCGUAGCAACAGUGCUGAACUUUCUCCAUUUAUAGACAAUGUGUCUUACCGUGGACUGAUGAACAUUAAGGCUUUUAGAGAUACUUUUGUAACCCUUUCCAGGUUUAUGCAAGUCAACAAUUUUUAAUCUCAGGUCUUCUGAAAUCUCUUUUGUUCGAGGCAUGGUUCACAUCAGGCAAUGCUUCUUGUGAAUAGCAAACUCAAAUUUUGUGAGUGUUUUUAUAGGGCAGGACAGCUCUAACCAACAUCUUCAAUCUCGUCUCAUUGAUUGGACUCCAGGUUAGCUGACUCCUGACUCCAAUUAGCUUUUGGAGAAGUCAUUAGCCUAGGGGAUCACAUACUUUUUCCAACCUACACUGUGAAUAUUGAAAUUAUCUAUUCAAUACAGACAAGAAAAAAUACAAUAAUUUGUAUUUUAUUAGUUUAAGCACACUGUGUUUGUCUAUUGUUGUGACUUAGAUGAAGAUCAGAUCAAAUUUUAUGACUAAUUCAUGCAGAAAUCCAGGUCAUUCCAAAGGGUUCACAUACUUUUUUCUUGCCAGUGUAUAAUAUGAAUUGUAAUUAGUACCAUAUCAUACGAAAUGGGUGAUGAACAACCACAAAUGAAUACAUACCAUACGAAACUUAACAUAUCAUGCUAAAUGGAGUGUCUUGGAUUUACGUACAGAAUAAUACGAAAUGCUUUGAGACCCGGUUAGAGCCAUCCAAUGGCAGCUUUCUUUAUAUAAUAUCACAAUACACCUCAAGUGCCCUCUGGGUGCUCUCUGAAGUGGCUCUUGAGUGCCAAAGAGUUAGGAGGAAACUUUUCAGGAGAUCAAAAGGGUUGAAUGACAUUCUGAUCCCUCAAAAGGUGCAGGUGGAAUGGUGACACUAAAGAUGUCGGUUUUGGUACCUGAAAUACAGUAUAUCAUGCUUUCAUGCCUGGUAGCACGCAUCAUGGUCAACCUGAGCCUUGUCCUUGGCAUGCAUUACAAAGUACAGUUUAUUCUUCAUUGAAAUCAAAGUUGAAUUUUAGUUCCCGAUGCAAAACUUUUUCCCCCCUCAGUGUCAAAGAAGACAUUUGUGUUUCUAGUUUUCUCACCAACUGUGAAGUUUAUUUUUGCAGGGAGGUAAUGACCCUAAUUGAAGGCACUAACAUUUUCGAAAUGUGAGGCAGUAAGUUAGGGGGACAGAGACUUCAGUAAUACUCCAGCACAGUCACUCAUUAUUGGGGCAUGAGGAAAUGGGAAAGCGGGGAGGGGGAAUUCUCGCUAUGGGUGUUACAGAUUUUUUUCAUGUUUUGGUCUAGAUUAUUUAAAUCAUUGCAUAGCCUAUUUUCAUAGCUGAGGUUAAAUAAUAGUAAUUAAAGAUAUGCUCCGGUACUCUGGGCUGGAUGUGUCAAUGUGUAGUUCAUACAUGCAUAAUCUAUUACCUCAAGUAGCCAGUUUGAAAGCUACUGUUUUCUGGAAGCUGUGUGAUGGCAUUUCCCAUACAUUUACCGUCACGUGAGCCAGCCCCUAGCAAUCAAGUUUCAGCCAAUGAGCUUCAACCCCUCGCCAUUUGAGUGACAGCCAGCAAGACGCACACACGGUAGAGCGAGAGAGACAGCAAUGACGUGGUGCACAUAUCUGCACAUUUGUGAUGUAGUACGCAAUAUCCUGGGAGCCCUUUUGGCUCCUGAGCACUACUGGCUAAAAAGUAUACAAAAGUACCGGAGAAUAUCUUUAAGAGAUCAAUCUGCCAAGCCUUUCUUAAGUUGAUUCAAAUAUGAUUUGAGCUGAGUUUUUAUUAAAAACUGUAGAGACCUCAUUACAUUUAGGGUUGGGUAGGUUACUUUCUAAAUGUUACUAGUUGCCUGUCCAGAAUUGUAAUCAGUAACGUAACUUUUGGAUUACCCAAGAUCAGUAACAUAAUCGGAUUACUUUCCCCUUAAGAGGCAUUAGAAGAAGACGAAAAGGAUCCAUCAAACACAUUUGGUGUGUCAUCAUAGUGGUCUCGGACUUGUAGACCGACUCGCUAAGGUGGAACAAACUGAAACCUGCCCCUUUUUUUCAAUGGUUGAAUUGAAUGUCAUUGAGAAAACAUGGUGAAAUAUAAUACAUCUUUUUGCAAACAUCCUUUCUGAAUUGAGCAAUAUUUACAUUAAACAUUGACAUAAGCCAAAAUAUGUAUUAUUAUUCUAAGGUAUGACUGAAGUUCAGUAAUGUUGAAGGUGGGAAGAAAGGAUGCUUUCAACAUUAAAAAUGUUAAACUACAAAAAUAACAACAGAAAAGUUUGUAAGGGUGAAAAAACCUUUGUGUUUAUUUUUAAAAUGUCUUGUUCUUCUGAGACUUGAAAUGGAAUAUAGGUAAAAUCAUGCAAUGUAGAGCAUGGCUCAAACAUCAAAAGGUACAUUAAACAUGCUCUGUAUGUGUAUGUUUUA